RNAcentral lists this ribosomal RNA (271 nucleotides) under uncultured bacterium. RNAcentral describes it as "partial 16S ribosomal RNA". It matches the Rfam family "Bacterial small subunit ribosomal RNA", at positions 85 to 354 of the family's 1533-position model. The record is from RNAcentral.
CUGAUGGCGACCGGCGCACGGGUGAGUAACGCGUAUCCAACCUGCCCUUUACUAUGGGACAGCCCGUCGAAAGGCGGAUUAAUACCGUAUGUUGUCAUGUUGAUGCAUAUUUUCAUGACCAAAGGCUUCGGCCGGUAAAGGAUGGGGAUGCGUCUGAUUAGCUUGCCGGCGGGGUAACGGCCCACCGGGGCGACGAUCAGUAGGGGUUCUGAGAGGAAGGUCCCCCACAUUGGAACUGAGACACGGUCCAAACUCCUACGGAAGGCAGCAG